AAUAAGAUUAUUUUUCAGUUUUAUGAUACAAUGUUUUGACUCUUCGUUUUAUUUGAAAUUUUUUCGAUUAAUAUUUUUAUUCUUACUAGAUGAUAAAAUAUAAAUAGUAGUUUAUGCGUGACUAAUUUUUUAAAGUUUUUUACAAAUUUUUCAAAUAAAACGAAUGGUCAAACAUUGAAACAGGAAAAUGAAAAAUAAAGUUAUU
Molecule: microRNA precursor, 205 nt
Filed under: Oryza brachyantha (malo sina)
Lineage: Eukaryota; Viridiplantae; Streptophyta; Magnoliopsida; Poales; Poaceae
Description: MIR812 microRNA precursor family
Rfam family: MIR812 microRNA precursor family
Source: Rfam by way of RNAcentral